GUGGAGCCAGCCGGGCCUCCCCUCAUGGCAGCCACCCUCAGACUGCUGGUACAAAUGUGACCUUGCAACUUCCCUAGGAGCAUUUUUAAUUCCUGCCCAUAAAAUCCUCCUGCGAACUAAACAGAACUUGCAGGUGACUGGCAACUGGCUGUUGACUCCCCUUGCAAUGUCCAGCUAAUUUAAAUGCCGGAGAUGACACAGAGAUGAGGACUAAGUAGAGGUCUAAGUAGACCCCUACUCCAGCAAAACACCUGUGUCCAUUCCAGAUUCCUGGAAAGCCACGCUCACUGCAGCUGCAGAUCCACACUCAUCACAGAAGCCAAAGGAUCUCAUGCUGCUAAAAUGUGUAAAGUGUAAAACCAACAUCCUGAAGCACUCAAACUUGGAUGGACAACCAAGGCAGAAAAAGAAUAGAAGGAAAAAAGACAGCUACUUUGUUAUGCCGUAUCACAGCAGAGAGGGAAGGGCAGCUCCC
This 475-nucleotide long non-coding RNA is filed under the name Cyanistes caeruleus (blue tit). RNAcentral describes it as "lncRNA (ENSCCEG00000022793.1)". The record is from RNAcentral. Lineage: Eukaryota; Metazoa; Chordata; Aves; Passeriformes; Paridae.